GAAAUUCCUGCGGGGUCGAGCUGGGAACACAUGAGAUAUGAACCGCUUGAUUGAAUAUCAACUCAUGUGUUCUCAGGUCGCCCCCGCUGGAGCCUC
RNAcentral lists this microRNA precursor (96 nucleotides) under Triticum aestivum (bread wheat). RNAcentral's name for it is "MIR398 microRNA precursor family". It matches the Rfam family "MIR398 microRNA precursor family". RNAcentral also lists the same sequence under 2 other names. Lineage: Eukaryota; Viridiplantae; Streptophyta; Magnoliopsida; Poales; Poaceae. The record is from Rfam by way of RNAcentral.